RNAcentral lists this ribosomal RNA (305 nucleotides) under uncultured bacterium. Its description in RNAcentral is "bacterial SSU rRNA". It matches the Rfam family "Bacterial small subunit ribosomal RNA", at positions 334 to 637 of the family's 1533-position model. The record is from RNAcentral.
UUCCCCUAUGGGAGGCAGCAGUGAGGAAUAUUGGUCAAUGGGAGAGAUCCUGAACCAGCCAAGCCGCGUGAGGGAAGACGGCCCUAUGGGUUGUAAACCUCUUUUGUCGGAGAACAAAACCCGGGACGUGUCCCGGACUGCGUGUAUCCGAAGAAAAAGCAUCGGCUAACUCCGUGCCAGCAGCCGCGGUAAUACGGAGGAUGCGAGCGUUAUCCGGAUUUAUUGGGUUUAAAGGGUGCGUAGGCGGUCCGUUAAGUCAGCGGUAAAAAUGCGGUGCUCAACGCCGUACAGCCGUUGAAACUGGC